Long non-coding RNA from Oncorhynchus kisutch (coho salmon), 495 nucleotides. The record is from Ensembl. NCBI's taxonomy places the organism in Eukaryota, Metazoa, Chordata, Actinopteri, Salmoniformes, Salmonidae.
CAAAUGCAUCUUUAUAUUCAAAUGUAUAAGAAUCAUUUUAUUCCAUUAUCUUCCAUAUCUUCCAUCACAGAUAAGCCAAAGCUCACAGAGGUCAUUCACAACAUGACCAAUAGGUGGCAGAGUGAUGGGGGAAGCCCUGUGGCACCGACCUGCCACAGUUACCCCCCUUUCAACAGCUACAAGUGGUACAGGCUGGUUGAGGAAAGGGAGCAUUUCAUUAUCAAUCACCAGAACAUCACUGUCCACCCGGACAAGCCCGGGACAUACUACUGUGUCGCCACCAAUGACAUGGGGGGGAGGGGGGGGGGGGGGCUGUUUCUCAACCGAAGUGUCUUCCAUGUCCUCCCUCGUCCUUCGUUUCUGCUGUGUUCCGCUUGUUCUUUUACCCAUCUUUUUGGUCUACACGGCUGGCGUAAUGGCACAAGUGAGAACCUGGUGAGUGAAGGGUGUGCAGCAGCAUCAGACCCCCCGGGGAGCAGCAGAGAUCAGCUGUGA